This 461-nucleotide ribosomal RNA is filed under the name uncultured bacterium. RNAcentral's name for it is "bacterial SSU rRNA". It matches the Rfam family "Bacterial small subunit ribosomal RNA", at positions 1 to 507 of the family's 1533-position model. The record is from RNAcentral.
CAGUAGUCACGAGUUUGAUCCUGGCUCAGAUUGAACGCUGGCGGCAUGCCUAACACAUGCAAGUCGAACGAGACCUUCGGGUCUAGUGGCGCACGGGUGCGUAACGCGUGGGAAUUUGCCUCGGGUACGGAAUAACUCAGGGAAACUUGAGCUAAUACCAUAUAAUGUCUUCGGACCAAAGAUUUAUCGCCCUGAGAUAAGCCCGCGUAGGAUUAGCUAGUUGGUGGGGUAAAGGCUCACCAAGGCGACGAUCCUUAGCUGGUCUGAGAGGAUGAUCAGCCACACUGGGACUGAGACACGGCCCAGACUCCUACGGGAGGCAGCAGUGGGGAAUAUUGGACAAUGGGCGAAAGCCUGAUCCAGCAAUGCCGCGUGAGUGAUGAAGGCCUUCGGGUUGUAAAGCUCUUUUACUCGGGACGAUAAUGACGGUACCGAGAGAAUAAGCCCCGGCUAACUCCGUG